GACGAACGCUGGCGGCGUGCUUAACACAUGCAAGUCGAGCGGUAAGGCCCUUUCGGGGGUACGACGAGCGGCGAACGGGUGAGUAACACGUGGGUGGACCUCGCCCUCCAGCUCUGGGAGUAAGCCCGGGAAACCGUGGGUCUAAUACCGGAUAUGACUUCAUGACGCAUGUUGUGGAGUGGAAAGCCUUGUGCGGCUGAGGAUGGGCCC
Molecule: ribosomal RNA, 210 nt
Filed under: uncultured bacterium
Lineage: Bacteria
Description: partial 16S ribosomal RNA
Rfam family: Bacterial small subunit ribosomal RNA
Source: RNAcentral